GAAGUCAGCCAUCUGCAGCCCAAAAGAGGGCCCUCACCAGAACCCAACCACGCUGGCACACCAAUCUUGAACAUCCAGCCUCCAGAACUAUUCCUUCUUGGUGGAAUGGAAAUAACAACCAUCUCACUCAUAAAGCUACUAUGAGAGCCACUUGGGAUAACAUCAGAGCAAGCCUUUGGAAGCUGGGGAGAGUUGUAUAAAAGCAAGAUCUACGUCCCCUGAAAAGAGCCUCGCAUGCUUUAUUCAAUACUGCCAAAUGUGCGGAUUCAGCAAGGCAUUGGAAAUGGCAGGCAUGAAACAUGACCUAGACGAUGUCCAUUUAGAUACAGAUGAUUGAAGGGUUACCAUAGUGUGGUGACCGUAACUGCUGUUCACCAAACAGUUCCUGUCUCUGACUUCUGAGCACAUGGAAGUCCUCUGGCCUCCUGCACUGGGUAAGGCCCAGCAAACAGCUCUGGGCAUUGGAUUGUGAGCAGGAGUGUUAUAUCUGGCUUCUGGACAGGGCAUUUAACAAUGCCACGCAAGACUCUCUAGAGCACUCACUGCUCUGCCGAGGUGACAGGCAAUGUUCCAGACUGGGGUCCAGAGAGAGGAUGAAGACAGCAUAGAGCAGCACCCCACUCCUGCCAACCAGCAAUGGAUACGCAACAUAAGCAAGAAACAAACCUUUGUUGACCAAAAAUGAAAUCCAAUUAGAGAAAACAAAUAGGCUUUCUGUUCCUUGGAGAAAAUGAACUGGACAAAUUGCACACAAAAAAACCUAGUAUCUCCACCACCAACUGUUGAAAACAGUGGGGCCUCCGUUAACAGUUUCUUUGCCCACAGAAUGCUCUCUGAGGAACUGCGGGUGUGGAAGGAGUGCAGAAGCCUAUUCUCCACCUACUGGCGCGUCAAAGUUUUCAUCAGAACCUGCUUUUCUUUGCGAAACUAAGCAACUGCUCUUUCACACCCACAUAUUGCUGGAGCACAUUCAAUUACCCUCAACGACUGUUUAAAACGAAAAUGCUUUGCCUCCUGAGGACAAUGUGAGAGGAUUAAUGAAUGUUGUUCUUGAAGGACAGAAGUGUAAGGAUACAGCAGAACCUAAGCAGCUGGAAACUACUGCUGGGCCAUAUUUUACAAGCAAUUCAAACCCACCUUCAAGUAUUUUGUAAAGAAUAAUAAUGUUUAAGGCAGUUGGAUAUAUCAAGGGGCAUACUAUGCCAUUUUUCCUCCUUCUUCUUGAUGACAAUCAUGGAAUUAGAAAACUAAGAGGAUAACAAGAAGUGAUGAAGAAAGACUAACUUUUGCCAUAUGGUUUUUCAGGAGAAGAGGAAACAGCACUUUUUUUCCUCUGACACAUUGUUCCAAAGGAUCUGUAACUAACAAACCAAGCCAGCACAUUGCUGGGUUCUGUAGGCCGGUGACUCAGAAGUCACUUUUCUACCCAAUAUAUUAAAUGUCAAUCAAAAUACAUCCUAUAGGGCUUCCCUGGUGGCGCAGUGGUUGAGAGUCUGCCUGCCAAUGCAGGGGACACAGGUUCGUGCCCCGGUCCGGGAAGAUCCCACAUGCCGCAGAGCGGCUGGGCCUGUGAGCCAU
This is a non-coding RNA of Kogia breviceps (pygmy sperm whale), 1578 nucleotides long. The record is from RefSeq and is a predicted model, not a curated record. NCBI's taxonomy places the organism in Eukaryota, Metazoa, Chordata, Mammalia, Artiodactyla, Physeteridae.